ACAUGCAAGUCGAACGGAAAGGCCCUGCUUGCAGGGUACUCGAGCGGCGAACGGGUGAGUAACACGUGGGUGAUCUGCCCUGCACUUCGGGAUAAGCCUGGGAAACUGGGUCUAAUACCGGAUAGGAGCCAUCUUUAGUGUGGUGGUUGGAAAGUUUUUUCGGUGUAGGAUGAGCUCGCGGCCUAUCAGCUUGUUGGUGGGGUAAUGGCCUACCAAGGCGGCGACGGGUAGCCGGCCUGAGAGGGUGUACGGCCACAUUGGGACUGAGAUACGGCCCAGACUCCUACGGGAGGCAGCAGUGGGGAAUAUUGCACAAUGGGCGCAAGCCUGAUGCAGCGACGCCGCGUGGGGGAUGAAGGCCUUCGGGUUGUAAACUCCUUUCGCUAGGGACGAAGCUUUGUUGUGACGGUACCUAGAUAAGAAGCACCGGCUAACUACGUGCCAGCAGCCGCGGUAAUACGUAGGGUGCGAGCGUUGUCCGGAAUUACUGGGCGUAAAGGGCUCGUAGGUGGUUUGUCGCGUCGUCUGUGAAAUUCUGGGGCUUAACUCCGGGCGUGCAGGCGAUACGGGCAUAACUUGAGUGCUGUAGGGGUAACUGGAAUUCCUGGUGUAGCGGUGAAAUGCGCAGAUAUCAGGAGGAACACCGAUGGCGAAGGCAGGUUACUGGGCAGUUACUGACGCUGAGGAGCG
RNAcentral lists this ribosomal RNA (690 nucleotides) under uncultured Actinomycetales bacterium. RNAcentral's name for it is "bacterial SSU rRNA". It matches the Rfam family "Bacterial small subunit ribosomal RNA", at positions 53 to 755 of the family's 1533-position model. The record is from RNAcentral. Lineage: Bacteria; Bacillati; Actinomycetota; Actinomycetes; Actinomycetales.